UGCGUUCUCAAACAUUUUGCAGUAGCAAAUAUUGACGCGUUACCAGACUGAGUGCAUGGCGGUGGUCGUCCUCCUGGGUUUGCACAUAACGUCGCCAUUGCUGCUCUCGCUGGGUUAACAAUUAAGCAAAGUCUCCUGCGGUUCUCCUUCUCCUUUCCGGUGACAGCCGGGAUAGGGUACAGCAGUCCCACAACCCUUGUGAGGAUAAGCGGCUCAGAAGGUGGAUGUUUCUGACACUCUUGAAGAAUAAAGUACCUAAAAGUGUUGCAGGAUUGUCCCGGUGUAUGACACUUGUGGGGGCCUACAUGACCGUGACCGGUUGAGGAAGGGUGGAGUCUCUGUCAGCGGUGAAGGCAGCCCAGCCAUGUGCAUGCCUCAACCUGGGCUUCCUGCGGCAGCUGGAAGAGUUUGAGAACACAGAACAGAAAGAACCCCCUGGAGUCAAACACACUACUCUGCCACGCCAUCAUGGACUCCUGGAAGCAUUCUUCUGGGGGGGACACAUACAGCUGCAUCAUCACGGCUAUCUUGAUGUCGCCUCAAUUGCCCCUUGAGUUUGGAAAAGAGGAAGAACAAGGUUACUAGUUUGGGUGGGUGUCCAGGUUGCUCAAGCACAAGGAAUUGUCAGAUGCAUGGGGGCGUUGUCAUGGUGAAGCAGCCACAAGUUGUCCUCCAAGAUUACUCACCUCUUUUCGAGCAAUAAAUACAGCAAAGAGCAAAAUCUGUUUGUAGACCAGCACGGUUGAUCGUCUGGCUGACAAUGAUGGUGAAAAACUGCAGCUUGCAGUACCAUCUUGGAACUUGUAGGUUUGGAAUAUUCUGUAUGUUUUAGGAAACCAAUCUGAAAGCAUUUCUGACACGCUUUGUGAUAUAUACUUUCUUUUUUAUGUGUGUGUGCGUUGGGGGGGGGGGGUAACUCAGAUGUCCGCUCUUCUAUGGCCUCUCGUAUCGACGAACCAGUAUGGGAUGCAUCCAAUGUGGUACACUGAUGAGGAAGAAGUUGAAAAACUUUUAAUGCAUAGAUCAGUCACUGAAGCUUUAGCUGGAAGAGGCUCUUUAAAAAGUAAUGAAAUAUUACCCUGUUGUCUUCUUUGCACUUAUGAAACACAAUUACAACUUUGGGAAUGCGAUCCUUUCAAAACGUUAGCAAGUAUGGCCCACUUGGGAAAAAAAGAGCAAGUAUGACUACAGAGUAGAAGAGGGAAUCAGAUGUCCUGAUGUUGGUCAGAGGUUUGAAUUUAAGAUUUGGAUUCACUUAACAUUAUGUUUGGCAUUUUUUACACCCCAUCAAUCUCAUGUUUUAACAUUUUCUUGGGCCCAACUGUUACUACAGCACGCAAUGCCAGUCAAGCAUUUAACCAAAGAAACAUGUACAGUAACUGGAUAGACAGUGAGCAGAACAGUGCUCAGAACCAAAAUGUGUACACUUUACUCAAAACAUGCCGUGAAAGUUUUUUUUUUUUGGUAUACCGCUAGCAUCUGAAAAACACGCUGAUGAUGGAGCCCUCUUAUUUAUGUAAUCUUUAUUCAGAUUAUACUGUACUUUAUACUACCUCAACGCAACGUUUUUCCAAAUUCAAAGCAGUCGAAGCAAUUAAAUUGUGGAUAAGAAAAGAUUUUUCUCAGUAGUUCAAGGGAUUUCCUGUCCUUUUUGUCAUUGUAUUUGUUUCUCCAUAAAAAUAUGAUAUUCCUUCAAUCUGUGCCCUUUAUUUCACUUUGUAUUUCAAUGAUAAUGUGUCUGGUUUAUGUCAACAGUGUUGC
Molecule: long non-coding RNA, 1761 nt
Organism: Syngnathoides biaculeatus (alligator pipefish)
Lineage: Eukaryota; Metazoa; Chordata; Actinopteri; Syngnathiformes; Syngnathidae
Exons: 4
Source: RefSeq, a predicted model, not a curated record